This 204-nucleotide ribosomal RNA is filed under the name Acinetobacter baumannii. Its description in RNAcentral is "partial 16S ribosomal RNA". It matches the Rfam family "Bacterial small subunit ribosomal RNA", at positions 547 to 751 of the family's 1533-position model. The record is from RNAcentral. Lineage: Bacteria; Pseudomonadati; Pseudomonadota; Gammaproteobacteria; Moraxellales; Moraxellaceae.
GGAUUUAUUGGGCGUAAAGCGCGUCUAGGCGGUUUGGUAAGUCUGAUGUGAAAAUGCGGGGCUCAACUCCGUAUUGCGUUGGAAACUGCCAAACUAGAGUACUGGAGAGGUAGGCGGAACUACAAGUGUAGAGGUGAAAUUCGUAGAUAUUUGUAGGAAUGCCGAUGGGGAAGCCAGCCUACUGGACAGAUACUGACGCUAAAG